RNAcentral lists this ribosomal RNA (407 nucleotides) under uncultured bacterium. Its description in RNAcentral is "partial 16S ribosomal RNA". It matches the Rfam family "Bacterial small subunit ribosomal RNA", at positions 28 to 526 of the family's 1533-position model. The record is from RNAcentral.
GACGAACGCUGGCGGCGUGCCUAAUACAUGCAAGUAGAACGCAGUUGCGAACGGGUGAGUAACGCGUAGGUAACUGCCCCAUAGCGGGGGAUAACUAUGGGAAACGAUAGCUAACACCGCAUACUGUGAGAUGGACCUGCGUUGUAUUAGCUAGUUGGUGAGGUAAAGGCUAAGCAAGGCGACGAUAAAAAGCCGAACUGAGAGGGUGGUCGGGCAAACUGGGAAUGGGACAAGGCCCAGAAGCCUAAGGGAAGCAGCAAUAGGGAAUCUUCGGUAAAUGACGGAAAGCUGGACCAGCAACGGCGCCGGAAUGGAGAAUGUUUUCCGGUCGUUAAGGUCUGUUGUUAGAGAAGCGGUAACUAACCAGAAAGGCACGGCUAACUACGUGCCAGCAGCCGCGGUAAUUC